Molecule: long non-coding RNA, 662 nt
Organism: Nomascus leucogenys (northern white-cheeked gibbon)
Lineage: Eukaryota; Metazoa; Chordata; Mammalia; Primates; Hylobatidae
Exons: 4
Source: RefSeq, a predicted model, not a curated record
CUCCUGCCUCUGCCUCCCAAAGUGCUGGGGUUACAGGUGUGAGCCACUGUACCCAGCCUAAAUGAGUGAGUCUUUAACCUUCCCUCUAGUUGACUUGAGUAGAACUCCAAGGAAUAUCAAAGUCAAUUCUCCUUCUAAUAGAUGGUAAAUGAAGCCCUUUGGAUUUGAAUAAAGAGAAUGGUUCUCUCUCUCUCUCUCUCUUGCCCUUGCUCUCUCUUGCUCUCUCUCUCUCAUCCUCCCAGGAAGAGCCAGAUUAGACUUAUUGGGAGGCUGUGCCUUGGUGAUUCAUACAACUUUCUAGGAUCUUUUGAUUAACAGAGAAAAAGUCAUAAGAUCAGCAAGAGGAGAAACUGUAGAUUUGCCUCAACUCAACAUGUUAACUAAUCACCUGACAUCUGCAUAAGACCACCUCUUGGCACCUGGCUACACAAGCUGAAAUGGUUGUCUUUGGAAAAAGAAUAGACAUUCAUGGCAGACCAAAGACCACUCUCUGAAGGUGUUGUAUGAGAAAUCCACAUAGGAGCAAUCCAAGAAAACCAUGCAGGUAAAUGCUAGUCUGGAAAGACAGAAGGAAAACAUGCCAAGUGGAGCCCACCGGAAGGACAGCAGUCAGAGCUCAAGAGCCCAGCUUUAAAAGGCAUGUGUUCACUGAUGUGCUUUAA